CCGGCUACUCCGUGCCAGCAGCCGCGGUAAUACGGAGGGUGCGAGCGUUAAUCGGAAUUACUGGGCGUAAAGGGUGCGUAGGUGGUUGAAUAAGUUAUNUGUGAAAUCCCUGGGCUUAACCUGGGAGGGUCAGAUAAUACUGCUCAACUCGAGUAUGGGAGAGGGUAGUGGAAUUUCCGGUGUAGCGGUGAAAUGCGUAGAGAUCGGAAGGAACACCAGUGGCGAAGGCGGCUACCUGGCUCGAUACUGACACUGAGGCACGAAAGCGUGGGGAGCAAACAGGAUUAGAUACCCUGGUAGUCCACGCUGUAAACGAUGUCA
Molecule: ribosomal RNA, 321 nt
Filed under: uncultured Legionella sp.
Lineage: Bacteria; Pseudomonadati; Pseudomonadota; Gammaproteobacteria; Legionellales; Legionellaceae
Description: bacterial SSU rRNA
Rfam family: Bacterial small subunit ribosomal RNA
Source: RNAcentral